UACAGAGGGUGCAAGCGUUAAUCGGAUUUACUGGGCGUAAAGCGCGCGUAGGCGGCUAAUUAAGUCAAAUGUGAAAUCCCCGAGCUUAACUUGGGAAUUGCAUUCGAUACUGGUUAGCUAGAGUGUGGGAGAGGAUGGUAGAAUUCCAGGUGUAGCGGUGAAAUGCGUAGAGAUCUGGAGGAAUACCGAUGGCGAAGGCAGCCAUCUGGCCUAACACUGACGCUGAGGUGCGAAAGCAUGGGGAGCGAACCGG
Molecule: ribosomal RNA, 253 nt
Filed under: uncultured bacterium
Lineage: Bacteria
Description: partial 16S ribosomal RNA
Rfam family: Bacterial small subunit ribosomal RNA
Source: RNAcentral